GACGAACGCUGGCGGCGUGCCUAAUACAUGCAAGUCGAGCGAAGUUUUUCUGGUGCUUGCACUAGAAAAACUUAGCGGCGAACGGGUGAGUAACACGUAAAGAACCUGCCUCAUAGACUGGGACAACUAUUGGAAACGAUAGCUAAUACCGGAUAACAGUAUUUCUCGCAUGAGAGAUAUUUAAAAGUUGGUUAUGCUAACACUAUGAGAUGGCUUUGCGGUGCAUUAGCUAGUUGGUGGGGUAAAGGCCCACCAAGGCGACGAUGCAUAGCCGACCUGAGAGGGUGAUCGGCCACACUGGGACUGAGACACGGCUCAGACUCCUACGGGAGGCAGCAGUAGGGAAUCUUCCGCAAUGGGCGAAAGCCUGACGGAGCAACGCCGCGUGAGUGAAGAAGGAUUUCGGUUCGUAAAGCUCUGUUGUUAGGGAAGAAUGGAUAUGUAGUAACUAUACAUGUAAGAGACGGUACCUAACCAGAAAGCCACGGCUAACUACGU
This 498-nucleotide ribosomal RNA is filed under the name uncultured bacterium. Its description in RNAcentral is "partial 16S ribosomal RNA". It matches the Rfam family "Bacterial small subunit ribosomal RNA", at positions 28 to 506 of the family's 1533-position model. The record is from RNAcentral.